UAGUGUUGAUGUUCUAACGUCGACCCCUUAUCGGGGUUGCGGACAGUGCCUGGUGGGUAGUUUGACUGGGGCGGUCUCCUCCCAAAGAGUAACGGAGGAGCACGAAGGUGGGCUAAUCACGGUUGGACAUCGUGAGGUUAGUGCAAUGGCAUAAGCCCGCUUGACUGCGAGAAUGACAAUUCGAGCAGGUGCGAAAGCAGGUCAUAGUGAUCCGGUGGUUCUGAAUGGAAGGGCCAUCGCUCAACGGAUAAAAGGUACUCCGGGGAUAACAGGCUGAUACCGCCCAAGAGUUCAUAUCGACGGCGGUGUUUGGCACCUCGAUGUCGGCUCAUCACAUCCUGGGGCUGAAGUCGGUCCCAAGGGUAUGGCUGUUCGCCAUUUAAAGUGGUACGCGAGCUGGGUUUAGAACGUCGUGAGACAGUUCGGUCCCUAUCUGCCGUGGGCGUUGGAAGAUUGAAGGGGGCUGCUCCUAGUACGAGAGGACCGGAGUGGACGAACCUCUGGUGUUCGGGUUGUGUCGCCAGACGCAUUGCCCGGUAGCUAAGUUCGGAAUCGAUAACCGCUGAAAGCAUCUAAGCGGGAAGCGAGCCCUGAGAUGAGUCUUCCCUGAUACUUUAAGUAUCCUAAAGGGUUGUCGGAGACUACGACGUUGAUAGGUCAGGUGUGUAAGUGCUGUGAGGCAUUGAGCUAACUGAUACUAAUUGCCCGUGAGGCUUAACCAUACAACAC
Molecule: ribosomal RNA, 729 nt
Filed under: Vibrio parahaemolyticus
Lineage: Bacteria; Pseudomonadati; Pseudomonadota; Gammaproteobacteria; Vibrionales; Vibrionaceae
Description: partial 23S ribosomal RNA
Rfam family: Bacterial large subunit ribosomal RNA
Source: RNAcentral